RNAcentral lists this unclassified non-coding RNA (3378 nucleotides) under Leishmania donovani. RNAcentral describes it as "gene:LdHU3.31.3830(CDS-product:hypothetical_prote in_conserved)". Lineage: Eukaryota; Euglenozoa; Kinetoplastea; Trypanosomatida; Trypanosomatidae. The record is from RNAcentral.
CUUAGCCGAUCCCCUCGUCGGGGGCAGACGAAAACUCGUCCUGAGAGUGCGCUCGAAACUGCUGCUCAGGUUUCUUUGCAGCGCACUUCAGUGGAUUGAUAUCGCGUUUCAGCAGCUACUCCGCGACACCCGUUGCUGACGGUCAAGCCUACACCGCUUCUCACUGGCGUUUCAGUUGCAAGCACGGCUCAUUGCUCUGGCAGAAGUUGUGGUCUGCAGCUGGUGCGAUCCUACUCUUUCUUGAAGCGCGUUGCUUAUCACUAUUCAUAAGAACUGGUGCUCUUUUUUUUUGCUGGUCGCCUUCUCUUGUUGUGAGCUCCACCUGUGACUCCCUCAUUCCCAGGUAAUGCCUGCUGCGGGUGACGGUGUCUGUGGGUGUCGUAUUCACCGCCAGAAUCGUCAGCGCAGCAGCCCGAUUCAACAUGCGCGUCGCUCCUCCAGCGCAUCGCUGCCAGAGAUGGCUGUCCGCCUUGCGGACGACUUUCGCCCGCGUAGCACGAAGAGUCAGCUGAUAAGACGGGGUGGAGGUCGCUACAACGAGCCCUACGCAGCCAUCGUCGAGCGCGACGAUGCCGUUUCUGUUUUGUGCGUGCAGCUCACACGGCAGCAGGUGCUUGUGCGGCACAUGCCAGAGGAGGAGUGGAAUCGCAUCGUGCGCGAGGGUGAGAAGGUUCAUCCUGGCGUUGAAGGUAAGACCAGUCUGCACAUUGUUGCACCGCCCGAGAUGAGCACACUGCCGGCUGGCGCCGCCGAAGCCGCUGACGAGCCGCACAGCCCUGAGCAACAGGCGUCGCCUAGCACGGCAGCAGCGGAGCCACCCGUUUUCGAUUACUUUAUGGCCCCGGAGAACCGCAUUGAAAAACUAACGAGCACAAGCAAGGCGUCCUUCUUCUCCCAACUCCGCUUACGGGCGCACUAUUCUCGGAAGGAGCUGGAGCGGAUGGCUCGCGAGGAUCGACGCGCGAUGCUCUCGGUGGAGCGGCGCAACAUCUUUCUGCGGCAGUAUCAGCGGGACAUGCAGCAUCGCAUGGCAGGCACACCACUGUAUACGGUGGGGCGCGAGCUGCCAGAGGAGUUUAUUCAGCUUUUCUUUAUGUCCCAGGAUCACCAUGGUACGAUGACCCGGCGUCCGGAGCGAAGCGAUGCCGUCCGCACUCCUCAGGCUCAGCGCAGCUUGCAGAGGAGCGCUGGUGGGCGACAUCUCUUCACCAUUGAUCGCAGCUUCACCUGCUUUGGCGAGCGCCUACCGUUUGCGGGUCAGGCUCCAGUGGACGGCUUCGUUGUCGUCACUGUCGCACCAACGGCGGACGCGUUCACCUCGGCGUGGGGGCUGUGGGAUGAAGUGCACCGCCUCUCCAGUGAUACGGAAGAGAAGCCGUUUGUUCCCUGCAACUACGGCUCCGCCGACUACUUGCCACGCGCGGGUCCUGAUGACCCUCGCGAUCCUGGUGAAUGCUCAGAGGAGGGGGAAGCCGGCACCACGGCGAGUGCUGCCUAGACGGUAUGCAGCUGCCCGAUCGGCAAUCAAGCUCCGCGCUGCCGCUGGCCACGACUGCGACAAUGCCAAGAACGGAGUUAGUGCGUGGCAGGCCAUCUCGUGCGUCCUUCCUGCCCGAGUCCUCACUGCUUUGCACGCCCCCUCGUUCUCUACGCAUUUGCUGCUUGCCUUCCUCUCUCUCUCCCGCCAUUACUCCCCGCUGGUUCUCUCGUCUCUACGUGGCGGUGUCUCCAUCCGCCCACACCUUCUCUGCCAUUGAUUGUGAGCAAUCUUCUACGCACGUGUAACGGGCAUGUACCCGCAUGUGUGGAGCCUGCUGUUUUUUUUUUUCACUGUUUCCUCCCCCCCCCACCACCACCACCAUCACCCUUCUUCGUGUCCCUCUCCGCACGCCCGAGCCGCUUCUUGUUCGCUCGCGUGCUCCGCCUCUCUCUCUCUCGUCCUGUGACAUCCUCGUCUGUUUGAAGGGCGACAAUGGGGUGAAAGAUGCAUGGGGCGGGGCGCAACAGCAGCGGCAAAGACGACAUCACCCCAUUCUAGCUACUAUUCGUUUACACCAGCAGCCCUCUUUUGUGUUUUAGCUGCGUCGUUUUCGACUGCUUUCGUUGCUGAGAUCCUCUACAUCAUCGUGUGCGCGUCUUUCUGCGGUCUGACGUCUCUCUCUCCCCGCCGCGCGUGUGUGGGCGUUACUGAAAAACAACAUGCAGGGAAGCCGUGCGUGUAGAAUAACCCCUUCCACCCUUAUCAAGUCUGUAUACAGGGGUUGUUCGAUGCUGUGAUCUGGAUGGAGAUAGGCGUUUGUAGUGCUUCUAUCCCAUGCUUCCUUCACUUCGUUUUCGCGGUGGCGGGUGUGUGCGUGUGCUUGUGAAUGGCAUGCAGCCGAUGAAACUCAGAACCAUCUGAGUGGUGCACAUAUAUUUGGCUUUCACAAAGCCACCACUCACUGCAGCUUCGCAUUUCCCAGUCGCUGGCAUCACUGUGCAUUCUAUCUCAGCCCAGCACACACUGUAUGGCCACGUCUUUUUCUUUUGGUGGAGACAGCUAUGGCCUCGCGCCGGUCUUGCGACGGCGUCUACACGUACAGUCAACCGCACCUUCAAUGAAUAGAAGGAGCUCAGGAAAAAGCGGGGUGGGAGACGGGACAGAAAACACGGUGGAACGGCAGCGUGCCUCACAUGGGUGAUGCCACUCCCCUCCGUUCCAUGAGAAACCGAUAAAGGGACAGCAAAAGACAAAUAACAGCGAAGCCGCGGUCACGUGUCGUGUGUCUUCUUUGUUUGUGUGCUGCUCCAAAACGAGAGUAGCGACGCAUCACCACCAUCGCCAUCACCACCCUCUCCCCUCCCUCCCCUUAUGUUCGUGGGUAUGAUCAUGGCUUCGUUCGAUGGCAGCGCGGUGGAGGGCGAAAUGGGGCAAAACAAAUCACAACAAUCACAACGAAUACAUAUAUAUAUAUAUAUAUAUAGAAGAAGAGUGUUUGUGCAGGGAACGUGUGGCAUGUGUGUGCCGGCCGCUCGAGGCAAGCGUUUUGCAGAUUUUGUUUUUUUUAUUUUGUUUUCUCUGCUUUGACAUCUACCCUUGACAGGAACAGCACCGUCGCGUUUUUUCGUCAACGCUGAAAAGCUGCCUGGCCCCCACCAUCACCACCACCCUCUUAUACACGGCAGUGCUGCUGAUGGUCCUCCUCUACACGUAGAGAGGCAAGAUCCAAGCUCCCUCGGCGACUCCUCUUGAGCAAGGUGUACCUUUUUCGGUAUGCAUGUGUGUUGUGUGUUGUGUGUGUGUGUGUUGCCACCAUCAUUGGCAAAGGACAGAUUUGCUCCCUCAACGCAUACAUGGCUAAAAAAAUGUCGGCACGGGCACAAGCAACAGCAGAAGCG